This 492-nucleotide ribosomal RNA is filed under the name uncultured bacterium. Its description in RNAcentral is "partial 16S ribosomal RNA". It matches the Rfam family "Bacterial small subunit ribosomal RNA", at positions 29 to 507 of the family's 1533-position model. The record is from RNAcentral.
AGUGAACGCUGGCGGUAGGCCUAACACAUGCAAGUCGAACGGCAGCACAGUAAGAGCUUGCUCUUACGGGUGGCGAGUGGCGGACGGGUGAGGAAUACAUCGGACUCUACUUUUUCGUGGGGGAUAACGUAGGGAAACUUACGCUAAUACCGCAUACGCCCUACGGGUGAAAGCAGGGGAUCUUCUGACCUUGCGCGAUUGAAUGCGCCGAUGUCGGAUUAGCUAGUUGGCGGGGUAAAGGCCCACCAAGUCGACGAUCCGUAGCUGGUCUGAGAGGAUGAUCAGCCACACUGGAACUGAGACACGGUCCAGACUCCUACGGGAGGCAGCAGUGGGGAAUAUUGGACAAUGGGCGCAAGCCUGAUCCAGCCAUACCGCGUGGGUGAAGAAGGCCUUCGGGUUGUAAAGCCCUUUUGUUGGGAAAGAAAAGCAGCAGGUUAAUACCCCGCUGUUCUGACGGUACCCAAAGAAUAAGCACCGGCUAACUUCGUG